RNAcentral lists this non-coding RNA (151 nucleotides) under Macleaya cordata. Its description in RNAcentral is "Eukaryotic large subunit ribosomal RNA". It matches the Rfam family "Eukaryotic large subunit ribosomal RNA", at positions 2832 to 2984 of the family's 3401-position model. Lineage: Eukaryota; Viridiplantae; Streptophyta; Magnoliopsida; Ranunculales; Papaveraceae. The record is from Rfam by way of RNAcentral.
GGCUAUGAUGAAACCCCAAAGCGUUCAUAGCGACGUUGCUUUUUGAUCCUUCGGCUCUUCCUAUCAUUGUGAAGCAGAAUUCACCAAGUGUUGGAUUGUUCACCCACCAAUAGGGAACGUGAGCUGGGUUUAGACCGUCGUGAGACAGGUU